AUCAUUCGGUACCGCCAUAGAGCCACUCGAUCCAUUCCCAGCACAAUCCAGUUCCUCUUCUACGGGACCCAGUUCCACUCAUGAUGGAUCCAGACUACAUUAAAAGGUACAAAAGACUAAACUCAUAUACCUUUGCAGGUGCAUCCUCUUUGGAAGAGGUCGAAUAUUGGUUAACUGAGACAAAGAAGGCCUUUGCGACUCCUGGGGUGAUUUCUAAACAGAAUGUUGUACUUACCACCUACAUGCUUGUGGG
Molecule: long non-coding RNA, 253 nt
Filed under: Carica papaya (papaya)
Lineage: Eukaryota; Viridiplantae; Streptophyta; Magnoliopsida; Brassicales; Caricaceae
Description: long non-coding RNA (CPAP_LNC007657)
Source: RNAcentral